AUUUAAGUAGUUUAAUAUAAAAUAUUGAUUUGUGAUGUCAAAGAUGUAUGAGUAAUACUUUAAAUA
Molecule: transfer RNA, 66 nt
Filed under: Cheironitis hoplosternus
Lineage: Eukaryota; Metazoa; Arthropoda; Insecta; Coleoptera; Scarabaeidae
Description: tRNA-His
Source: RNAcentral